Molecule: transfer RNA, 111 nt
Filed under: Bos taurus (domestic cattle)
Lineage: Eukaryota; Metazoa; Chordata; Mammalia; Artiodactyla; Bovidae
Also listed under: 5 other names
Rfam family: tRNA
About the family: Transfer RNA (tRNA) molecules are approximately 80 nucleotides in length. Their secondary structure includes four short double-helical elements and three loops (D, anti-codon, and T loops). Further hydrogen bonds mediate the characteristic L-shaped molecular structure. tRNAs have two regions of fundamental functional importance: the anti-codon, which is responsible for specific mRNA codon recognition, and the 3' end, to which the tRNAs corresponding amino acid is attached (by aminoacyl-tRNA synthetases). tRNAs cope with the degeneracy of the genetic code in two manners: having more than one tRNA (with a specific anti-codon) for a particular amino acid; and 'wobble' base-pairing, i.e. permitting non-standard base-pairing at the 3rd anti-codon position.
Source: Rfam by way of RNAcentral
GUCAGGAUGGCCGAGUGGUCUAAGGCGCCAGACUCAAGCUCAAACAAGCUUCCUCUGAUAGAGGUUUCUGGUCCCCGAAUGGGGGCGUGGGUUCGAAUCCCACUUCUGACA